Molecule: transfer RNA, 72 nt
Filed under: Caudoviricetes sp.
Lineage: Duplodnaviria; Heunggongvirae; Uroviricota; Caudoviricetes
Description: tRNA-Gly
Rfam family: tRNA
About the family: Transfer RNA (tRNA) molecules are approximately 80 nucleotides in length. Their secondary structure includes four short double-helical elements and three loops (D, anti-codon, and T loops).
Source: RNAcentral
GCGGUGUUCGUAUAAUGGUUAUUAUUCCAGUCUUCCAAACUGGGGAUGGCAGUUCGAACCUGCUACACCGCU